UCGAGGGACAUCUCAUUGAAUUGAACAAUUAUAAGAAGGUGAUAGAUUCCUUAUUGUGCAUUCAUGUAUCUUCACACUCAUACAUAUGAACCCGAAUAUUACACUAUUAGGCCCUGCAAUCUCAUUGAGGGCUUUAAGGUGAAACUGAAGUUCAUAUCUAUAAAUAUAAGAUAAUUAUAUGCCUCAUGUUUAAGAACUAUUUGCAUGCUACAACCAGAAGCUUUGUAACAUUUGACAUGUUGUAUAAGCAUCUAUACGUUUAAGCUUCUUGUAUAAGCAUCUAUACAUUUAACAGACAAGCACCUAUAUAUCCAUCACUUUCCAAAUGGCUAGGAACUUUAUUUAAGGACUGAAGUGACUAUGGAAUGCAAGUCUCCCUGCCCUAAUCUUGUUUAGGACAUUGCUACCAUACUUUCAAUCUUAUGGACUCAUUCAUAGAAUUAUUUUUAUAAUAUAAAGCCAAACUCAUGAAUCCCUGAGGGAGGAUUGAAAGAGGACGUUACAGGCUCUUUUAUAUGAAUAAAUCUUGCUCAUUUAUUUGUUAAUUAAUAUGUAGUUAUACAAAAUUGGCUUUUAGGGCACAACUCCAAUAUUGCCCCUAAAAUGGGUGGACUUGCUCUUAGGAUGGUAAAGGAGUUAACUUGCCCUUACUAUUCACUCUGAUUAGUACUUGCCCUUGUGCACUUCCAUGAAGGAAAUUUUGGGAAAAAAAUGUUCAUUUAAGCAACAUCUAUAGCAUGCAAUUAACAAUUAAAAGGUGGAAUCAUGCUUAUAUGCACUUAAAAACAAAACAUUAACCAUGAAAUUCAAAGCCUAGUAGAUUGGUGAACCAAGACUCAACUCAAAUCAAAGUGAGUUGAGAAAUUUAUACCUUUGUAGAUUCCUCUUUGCAUAAGCAAAGGCUAAUCACCCAAGGAGAAGGCCUUCAUUCCUUGCUUCUUAGAUCCAUGGAUUUGGAUGGAAGAAUAUGUUUCUCCAAGUUCUCAAAAUAGAGAACCUCUAAGUCUCCACACCAAGGUAAGAUGUGAAGAAGAGAUGAGUGACCUUGGAGGAGAAAGAUUACUAGCUAAUCCCUCCAAGGGGGCCGGCCUCUUCGAGAGAAAAGAGAGAGAUAUGUUCUCUCCAAUUCUCUAAAAGAAACCCUAAAUGAAUUUUGGCUAUAAAGUCAUAUUUAUACCUUUAUUCAUUGGAGUGGCAAACUUGUAAUUAGUCCAAAACCCACUCCUUUAACAAAAUGGCCGGCCAUAGGGUUUCAUUGGGCUUUUAAGGCCUUUGUGAAUUAUUUGUCAUGUGUCAUACAACUUAAGUCAAUGGGCUUGACGUUCGAAGCCCAUUGGGCCUUGAGGCCCAAAACUAUCCCGAGGUCUUUAACGAACUUAUUCGUUUGAUUAAUUAACAUAUUAAUUAAUCCUUGCCAUAAAUAAUUAAACCAUUUAAUUAUUCUUACUCAUCUCCAUUGUUUCUUCAAUCUCCACCUUAGACGGUGUACGAUCGAUCCAUUAGGUUCCUUUUAGCGAGGCAGGGGGUGGCGAUUAAAACCAUUUCAAAUCGAUUGUGAAUUGAAACUUACUUUCAAUUCUCCCUUUAGCGAUUAUACACGUUUAGGGCUUCCACAAACCAUGAGUGACACCUAGCAGCAUAUCAUGGUUACCCAAGCUAAUCAGAAGAGGUGGAGAACCUAUUCAGUUUAGGAUUACAAAUGCAAUACGGUCUUUCUCUAAUACAAUACUCUUGACCACAUUGUUUGGUUUGAUAGUUUAUUCAUGUCUACUAUCCAAUGUGAUUCGUGUGCUUAUAUGAUUACCUUGAAUGUGAUUUGGAACGACUUCCUAAAUCUCAUUCAUACUCUGGCCAGAGAUUCUUAAUCAUAUCAUAGAGUAUUCACCCCUAAACGGUUUGAAGGUUAGAGAUCCCUUGUUGCGCAUUCACUUGCCUCCAUGGCUAAGUGGCUUAACCCCGAUGAUGCCGUGGACACCCUCAUGAUGGAGUGACUUUGACAUAAUCAAAGAUCAAGGACUUAACCACAAGACAACUAUGAUGCCUCAGGUCAAAGGACUACUUUGCAUUAUCCCAACCAUGAGUUCUCAUGUGACAUGAGUAUGAGAACUCCUCGUUGAUCAUGUUCAGUGGACUCAUUCAUUAUUGAGCACCUACAUGCUUGUCUUGAUGUCACACACACUAAUGACUUGAGACUAGUCACUCUCCCUGAGAGAAGACACAACACAUACUGAUCUUAACGGACUGUCAAUGCCCAAUUGGCAAUCCUAUGAUCAGGAACGUUUAGGAUGUGUCUACGAAAGAAUGGUCUCAUGAAUCUAACUUCUUUAGAGAUCGCAUUCUCCCAAUCACAUAUUCCUUGUACUUAUCGUUUAAGCGUAUAACAUUUAUAUGAGACGGCUCAAACAAUAAUCUUUGCCCUUGAUAUUAAACUAGAUUAGUUUAACAUGUGAAAUGUCCGUAAAGUAUCAUCAUAUGAUUGGUUUUAGGGCACAUUUCCAACAAUCUCCCACUUGCAGUAGAGCCAAUCAGCUUGGUCAUCAGUGAUGAUACCUCUUAUGUAGUCAUUUCAUAAAUGGCUGAGUAGUAGGCCUAGACAAUGGAUAUCUAUAUGUUAUCCAUAGAAGCAACCUUGAGAAUAACGACGUCACCAUUAUACAUGAUUCUCAAUCAUGUGGUUCAGUCUCUCAUUUGAGUUCGGAUCGUGAUGAGACCUUGAUUCCCUGGCUUGAGUUAUCGCCCCAUUAGUGUCAGACACUUUUUGGUUGGAACUAAAUAGAGAGUUCAUAAAUGAACUUUCCCAUCCAAACAACAUUGUUGUAAACUUCUAUAUGGCAAUAUAUUUUGCAUUUAUAAUGGAACACACUAAAGUCAUUACUUUUAAUGUUUCCAUCCAAAUAUCUCUUUAGUCAGAAUAAAAAGAUAUCUGAUUAUCUCUUCAUUCAUAAUGAAGAAAUAUCCAAUGAUGGAUUAGAUUCAUAAUCUAAUACAUUUACGCUUCCUUUACGUUACUCUAAUUCUUCCUCAUUCUUUGAGGAAUGUAUCCUUUAGUAUUUCUUAAAUACUUAAGGACUCACUUGACAAUUGCCAUGGUUCUGAUCCUGGGCUUGCACUGAUAUCGUCUUGUACCUUUCUAGGUACAACUCAUAUCAAUGUUUUUCAUACAAUAUGAAAUACAUAUAUCUCCUCUCUGCGUAUGCAUAAAGGAUUCUAUUUACGCAUUAUUUCUUUGGGAGUCAAAGGGUACGUUCCCUUUGAGAAGGGCAACUUGCUAGUCUCACUAGAGUCGUCCUUCUAAUUGAAGUUUAUCAUCAUAUGAGAAACUUCCUAGCAUCUCUUGUCUAUUAUUAGGGCUUCAUAUAAUCCAAUUAUAUCCUAAAAUCUAUCAAUAUAUAGAUUUCCAUCCCAUGUAUAUAGAUUAUGUCUCCCAUAUACAUUCUAUCUUCAUAUAAUGUUUUAAAGUCAUAACUUUAACGAAGAAGUAUUCUUUUCAUUUCCAAAAUCAAUAUAUCAUAUAUUUGUGUAUAUAUAUAUAUAUAUAUAUUCAAAUUUAGGAACAUGAUUAACUCCCACUAAUCUUUUGUAAACCUAGUAAACAAAAGAUUCAUUUACAUCUUUAUGAGAAAUCAAACGUUUUGAUCUUUCUCUCAUAAGACAUUUACAGCUCCCACUAGCUUGCUAAGAUCCAUGAUGAUUGGAUCUCUACAACUUACAUGUCUUGUGAUUCAUAGUUUUAGACAUAUAUUAUCAAGACUAUCUUAAUAAUGGUUUCGGAAACCCAUAUUAUGUCCAAACAUUGAAUCACCAUUUAGUUGUAGUUAGCAAUCUUCGAAUUAAUUGAAAACAAGACUAGGUCAAAGAUGGUUUCUUCAAAGUCAACCAUUCUCUUUGAUUGUAGUCACCUUAAGCUACCAAUUAGCUAUUUAAGGUUUCAUUAUUUUGGGUCAAAUGGUACUUUACCAUUUCCUUGAGUAUAUAUCGUAUAUACACUCAAUGUAGUCAUAAUGAUUUUCAUUCUUAUUUCUUUCGAAUUAAGAGGUGUAACUCUAUGACAUAGUCAUAAAGUUCAAACCAUUCAACUGAGACAGUUUAUAAAUCCUUCUCGACUACCUUGGAGCUUGUGGUAUAGGAACUAGGUUGUUAUAUUUGUUGAUCACUAUCUUGUUUCUUAAAGAACCAUUCUUUGAGUUCUAUCCCUCGUUCAUUUGCUCUAUCUUGGGCAAAUCCUAGUGUAGGAUUACAAUGAACUACCCAACAAACAACAUUUGUUAGUUGGUUUAUAGAAGUGAUAUCCAAAUGUUAAUUUAAGGAUAUCCACAAGAUAAUUCUCAAACAAAUAUUGCUUAUUAGCACACAACCCUAAAUCUUAACAUGAUUAAGAUUUGUCUUUCUUUCCAACUACAUCUUAUGGAGUCAUGAAAAUUUUGGAAGAUCAUCUAAUUGACAAUCAUAUUGUCUUAGAAGCAUAUAUCCUAUAUAUGGGUAAUUGAUAACAUCCAACGAACUAAAUCUUAUUUGAGUUCGUUCUUCUCCUAAUGGAGAAAUCCAUUAUCUUUUGAUGCUUCUUUCCUUGAUAUUUUUCAAGGAAACUGUUCUAAAGUGUUAUCUUUCCUUGGAUCAAAUCUAAGGAGGCAAAUACUUUAGACGUCUUACUCAUCAACUUACAUUUCUUGAAUUCUUUGAAACCUUUUGCAAAGUAUUCGGACAUGUGUUUAUUCAAAAUAAACUAUAGUCCAACCGAGAGUGAUCUUCAGUGAAUGUCAUACAACAUGAGUAGUAUUAUGUUGUGGACAAGUGCCACUAACAUCUAAGUGAAUUAACCUCAACAACUUUGUGAUUCUUUCUUCUUUCCAAAAGAAUAAAGAUUCGAACAUUUCGCCUCCAUACAAUUUUAAUAAGAAGGUAUUGGAUCCGGAUCUAACGAUCUAAAGCAUCCAUCUUUGACCAACUCGUAAUUUAUGUUUUAGAGGUAUCACAACUUUAGUUGGGAUUAGUCACUACCUUGCAACCUUUUGGGUUUUAAGCAUCGUUAUAUUCUAAACAGUUAACACUACCAUAUCAUCUCUACUAUAGAGACAAUUAAUUAGAUUACUAUAAUCCAAUCAUUGAUUAAAGAACAAUGUUUUGUCAAACAAAACAUUCAUCCAUCUCUACUAUAGUGACGGAAUUAAGUUCCUUAAAAUUGGAAUGUAAAGACAAUCUUUGGUUUUUUUAAUUUCUUUGGUAGUUCAUAUGAGGAAGUAAGUACUAUCUGCUUUCGCAGAGAUCUAUAUUUUAUUCACGUUCCGAAUGUGAAGCACAUUUUUCUUCUCCCAUAUAUCUUCUACUUCUUAUUAGUCACACUUUUACAACGAUUGUAAAACAUAGUUACUAAUACGGAAUCAAGCAUUCAAGUAGAAGAACCAACUAUUUUGAACUAUUCAAGAACAAUCUACAACACCUUCGAAAGGUGUGUUCUUGACACUUGCAAGACAUUUCUUGCAAAUACCCCUUCCAAUGUCCAUCCUUUCAUAAAGAAAGUUUGUUCCCUUGGAGUUAAUUUUUAUUCUUCUUUAUUUGACUUCUCCAUUUGACUACAAUAGUCAUGGUCCCUAAACUCCCACUAUCUCUCUUGAAACUUAUUUCAAUUGUGUUAUACACAUCAAACAUUUUGGAGAGCAUGUGUUUAUUGUUCACUACAUAGUUUACAAUAAACUUAGUGAACCAUUAGGAUAGGGACAUAAAGGUGAAGUCCUAGCCUAGUUUCUGUCUCGUUAAGUGGUUUAACACUUCAACACUCAAUGAUUCAAAAUCAUCAUAAGUCCAUGUUGAUGGACUAUUUUUGUCAACCAACCAUUAUGUUCUAAACAUAAUUACAAACUUUCAAGAGUUGUCCAAGGCAACUCUCAUUUCUUCAUACAACAAUUUGUAAGUGAAGAAUCAUGGCACAUAAGUGUCCAUGCCCUUGUGCUUUCUUCUCAAGUUCUUUGUUCAUUUAACAAAGAAACAAGCACUAGUGUUUGCAUUGACUAAGGGUUGUUCAAAGCAACUCUUAUUUCUUCAUACAACAAUUUGUAAUUGAAGAAUUAUGACAUUAAAAGUGUUAUCCUCUUUAUGAUAGACUUUUUCUAACAUAUUCUUCUAAUGAUACAUUAUCAAUAGGAAGAUUGUGAGGAUGAGACUACUUAGGUACAUUUAGAAGCCAUUAAAGACAAUCUAUGGUUUUGUAGUACCAAGUCCGGAAACUAAAGCUUUCGGCUUUUAUUUGUCAAGUGUUGGAUAGCGUUUGCAAACAUAUUGGUAAAUAAAUACAUAACGAAUAUAAAUCGAUUGAUUUUAAGCCAUUUGAUCCGGGGCUUUAAAUCAAAUAGCACCACCCACUAUUUUUUGGCAAAUUCCAUAUCCCUCAUUGGAAUUCGAGAGUUUUGGAGGAAACUCUUAGUAGGGUAUGGGAGACUCACUACUACCAAGCCCACCUCACAAUGAUAUGAUGUUGGCUAGCAUUAAUAAUAAUGAGAGAGUACGCUUACUCAUUUGCAUCUCUUGCAAGUACCCAUCUUAUUUGGCUUCUAGAGAAUGUCACCUCACAAUGAUAUGAUGUUGGCUCCAUUGCACUUAGAAAGUCAUUCCCACCAUGCAAGUUCGGGUAGGGGUUCAAGAACAACCUCACAAUGAUAUGAUGUUGAUCAUUCUCGUUGCCUACGCUUCACAACAUCAAGUAUGCAUAUAGACUCCUCCUGAGUGUAAGCACGCACUUUGUACUCCCCCAUGAUAGGGUGAAGCCGGUGUACGAGUCACAAACGAUCGGAGCCUACCACAGUGGAAGGCCACGAAAGAGUGUUCAAAGCACUCUCACGCUUCUCAACUUAAUAAUGGUUUGGUUGAGGGUUUUUAGGUCUCAUCACAUAUAAAUAUUCAUUUUAAUCUUUAUUAAAACAAUUUUGGUCCUAUUACAACUAUUGGUCCAUUUGAUUGUUUUAGUUGUAUAUAAUACUCCCACUAUGCUUAUAAAACGGUUUUUAAAGCAAGAGUAUAUGAUACUACUAACAUAAACUUUGCAUUCAUUUGAUGGACUAUAUAGUUGCCUUAGGGCCUUAGGAUGACUAUGAACCUUUGUUUAGAUUCAACACGAGCCUAGUGUUGAAUCUCGGUCUAGGGAUGGUGAUUGAUUUUAGUUACGCGUUUAAUCACAUUAAGGCGUGUUGUCUUAGGGGCGUUGGACCCUCUACUCCAUUUUCAUGCAUAUCAAAUAAAACAAGAAAGGAGUACUUCAAAGUAAAGAUGAGCUUAUGCUCUUUACAACAUUUGAAUAAAACAAAUUACUUUAAAGUAAAGUAGAGCUUAUGCUCUUUUACAACAUUUGAUCAAAUCAAAUUACAACCAAAAUCUAAUCUACACAUUCCCAUGGUUCAAACAAAUUUGAAACGGCCUUUCACAUAGCUCAAUUAUCGUAGGCUUAGGUUCAUAAUCACCCUUUAAUUAAUUAACGCUUUAACUAAUUAAACUUGAAUGCAACAUUUUCAUUUGGUUUUUGUAUCCAUAAAAUUGAUUUAAAUGGAGCUAAAUGAAAUGAAAAUCCAAUUCUCAUUUAAAGAGACAAAACAAUUUUGUUCUCAACCUAAUUUGGGCCAAAAUGCAAUUACCACAACUUUUGGGCUAUAUUGCAAAACUUAAACUUUUGAGCUCAUUUUGUAAAAACACAAAAGUCCACUACUUCAUGUAAUCACAACUAGAACCCAAAAAUAUCAUCAAAUGCAAAAACUUCAUUAAAGGAGCAAAACAAUUUGACCUUUAGCGUUUUUGGGCCUUUACGUAAAAACGUAAACUUUUGGGUCAAACUUGCAAAUACACAAAAGUACCAAAACUUUAUGUAAUUGCAUAAAAGCCCUAAAAGCACCCCACUUGUAGGGUGGCCGGUUUUAGAGAGAGAAGGGAGUGAUGUGUGUGUUGAUUUGUAGUUUUAGACAUAAAGCAUGCAAGUGGUGCAUGACAUAAAUGUCAUGCAAGUGGUGUGUGUGAAAGGGAAUUAAUCCUUACACACCCACCAAUAUUUCUUACACCUUUCUAAAUAAAUAUCUAACACAUUUAAACAUUUGAAAAAAUAUAAAACAUAAACUUUAUGAAAUAAAUUAAAACUUUGAAUCAAAACACCAAACUUUUUGUUCUUGGCAAAAAUGUCAAGAACAAUGAAGAACACUCAUGAAAAACUCAAAAAAUUUCCAUGAACAUUUUUCACCCAAAAACAUCCCAAAACCAUUCAAACUUACGGGAAAUAACAUAUAACCAAACUAGGGUACAUAGGGGUUCCAAAAGUUACUUGAAAACACUUUUAACAAGUCAAACAAGAACCCAAAAAAACACCCUUUGGAUUUGGCCGAAAAUUCCCAAAAACAUGGCACCAAAUUUUAGCUCCAAUAUUCAUGCUCAUAUGAACUACAUCUACAACAUUUGAGAUGGCAAAUUUUCCAACAAAAUUUACAUUCAAAGAAACAAGAAUAAAGCUUGUAACAUAUUACAACAUUUAAAUCAAAAACUAUGAACUACAAAACCCAAAAGGAUUCACCAACUACUAGACCUAGGCUCUGAUACCACUUGAAGGAAAUUUUGGGAAAAACAUGUUCAUUUAAGCAACAUCUAUAGCAUGCAAUUAACAAUUAAAAGGCGGAAUCAUGCUUGUAUGCACUUAAAAAACAAAACAUUAACCAUGAAAUUCAAAGCCUAGUAGAUUGGUGAACCAAGACUCAACUCAAAUCAAAGUGAGUUGAGAAAUUUAUACCUUUGUAGAUUCCUCUUUGCAUAAGCAAAGGCUAAUCACCCAAGGAGAGGGCCUUCAUUCCUUGCUUCUUAGAUCCAUGGAUUUGGAUGGAAGAAUAUGUUUCUCCAAGUUCUCAAAAUAGAGAGAACCUCUAAGUCUCCACACCAAGGUAAGAUGUGAAGAAGAGAUGAGUGACCUUGGAGGAGAAAGAUUACUAGCUAAUCCCUCCAAGGGGGCCGGCCUCUUAGAGAGAAAAGAGAGAGAUAUGUUCUCUCCAAUUCUCUAAAAGAAACCCUAAAUGAAUUUUGGCUAUAAAGUCAUAUUUAUACCUUUAUUCAUUGGAGUGGCAAACUUGUAAUUAAGUCCAAAACCCACUCCUUUAACAAAAUGGCCGGCCAUAGGAUUUCAUUGGGCUUUUAAGGCCUUUGUGAAUUAUUUGUCAUUAAGUUGUCAUACAACUUAAGUCAAUGGGCUUGACGUUCGAAGCCUAUUGGGCCUUGAGGCCCAAAACUAUCCCAAGGUCUUUAACGAACUUAUUCGUUUGAUUAAUUAACAUAUUAAUUAAUCAUUGCCAUAAAUAAUUAAACCGUUUAAUUAUUCUUACUCAUCUCCAUUUUUUCUUCAAUCUCCACCUUACAUGGUGUACGAUCCAUUAGGUUCCUUUUAGCGAGGCAGUAGGCGAUUAAAACCAUUUCAAAUCGAUUGUGAAUUGAAACUUACUUUCAAUUCUCCCUUUAGCGAUUAUACACGUUUAGGGCUUCCACAAACCAUGAGUGACACCUAGCAGCAUAUCAUGGUUACCCAAGCUAAUUAGAAGAGGUGGAGAACCUAUUCAGUUUAGGAUUACAAAUGCAAUACGGUCUUUCUCUAAUAUAAUACUCUUGACCACAUUGUUUGGUUUGAUAGUUUAUUCAUGUCUACUAUCCAAUGUGAUUCGUGUGCUAAUAUGAUUACCUUGAAUUUGAUUUGGAACGACUUCCUAAAUCUCAUUCAUACUCUGGCCAGAGAUUCUUAAUCAUAUCAUAGAGUAUUCUCCCCCAAACGGUUUGAAGGUUAGAGAUCCCUUGUUGCGCAUUCACUUGCCUCCAUGGCUAAGUGGCUUAACCCCGACGAUGCCGUGGACACCUUCCUGAUGGAGUGACUUUGACAUAAUCAAAGAUCAAGGACUUAACCACAAGAAAACUAUGAUGCCUCAGGUCAAAUGACUACUUUGCAUUAUCCCAACCAUGAGUUCUCAUGUGACAUGAGUAUGAGAACUCCUCGUUGAUUGUGUUCAGUGGACUCAUUCAUUAUUGAGCACCUACAUGCUUGUCUUGAUGUCACACACACCAAUGACUCGAGACUAGUCACUCUCCCUGAGAGAAGACAUAGCACGUACUGAUCUUAAUGGACUGUCAAUGCCCAAUUGGCAAUCCUAUGAGGAACGUUUAGGAUGUGUCUACGAAAGAAUGGUCUCAUGAAUCUAACUUCUUUAGAUCGCAUUCUCCCAAUCACAUAUUCCUUGGACUUAUCGUUUAAGCGUAUAACAUUUAUAUGAGACGGCUCAAACAAUAAUCUUUGCCCUUGAUAUUAAACUAGAUUAGUUUAACAUGUGAAAUGUCCGUAAAGUAUCAUCAUAUGAUUGGUUUUAGGGCACAUUUUCAACAUUCCACUCAUUGGGCAAGGGCACGGCGAUUUCCAUUCAAAAAUAUUUUAUUUUUAUUUUUUAGGUAGCUUUGUUGACCGUGUGUUUAAGUUUGUUUAAGUGUGAAACUUUGUAAGUUUGUUCUUUGAAAGUAAAAUGAUUCUCUAAUUUCAAUACUUUUUUCCAAAUACAAGGCAAAAGUAAAGCAUUACAACAAACAUAAUUAAUUAAAAAUUAAAUGUGAAUUCUAGCAUAACCAACUACGAUAUUGAAACAAUAUUAUUCUUAAUAGCCUACAACCUAGGAGAUAAAAUUAGUAGGGCUAGGUCCAUUGAUACAUCCCAACUUGGAAUGUUCACGUGUCCAUCCGAAUCGUGAUGUGGUAGCUGAUACCUGGAGGAUGACGAAGCCAUAAAGUAAGGUUGAUGUGUAAAAGUGAGAAUAAAUUUAAACUUUAAAUAAAUAAACCAAAGUGCACAACGUGAUUGGGUGGUAACCCUUAUUACAAAACGUGAAGUUCAAAGCAUAGUGCAAAAAGAUGAAAAUGGUCUCAUCCGUAAAGGAUGAUUAUUUAAUACAUAAGCAACCUACUUUGGCCGAAGAACAGUCAGCUACUUCCACUGAAACCUCGUACUCCCACGAGCUCAUUCUCUCCGUCCUGGAUGGGUGGAAAACAAGGUGAGUAGGCCUAGAAAAUAAAGUUUUAUGAAACCUUUUUGAAAACGUGUAACCCCUCGCUAUAAAACAAGUAUAUGAUUUCCCAAAGUAAUGAGUUAAGGGAUAUAGAGUUCUACUACAAAAUAUCACAUCAACAACUCAAAUCGCUAUCAUAAAAUCACAGUUAUGAAAAUCAUUAAAAAUCAUGGCUAUGAAAAUCACUGCUCAUUAUCUAAGUAAGUAGCUGCAUGAAUACUCUGGGUGUAGGUUUUAUGUUCUAGUAUUACAUCACGUGAAGUUGGCACUACGCGCAUCACAUACGAGUCUAAUCAACAAACCUAGGGACAUGUUGGCACCUAACACUGGAUCCAAAACGAACGUAAAUGGUACAUGUGAACAUACACGUGAAGCCCAAAACAAUACAACUAACUAAUAAACACCGUCAAAACAUGUCACAAUGAGCAGAUAUAAUAAAUAAAGAUGUCAUGCCACAUUUUUAUACUCACAGUUAGUAAAAACAUA
Molecule: long non-coding RNA, 11534 nt
Filed under: Malus domestica (apple)
Lineage: Eukaryota; Viridiplantae; Streptophyta; Magnoliopsida; Rosales; Rosaceae
Description: long non-coding RNA (MDOM_LNC012403)
Source: RNAcentral